GACAGAGGAUCCCAGCCUCCUCACGUGGCUCCUGCCCAGCUUGGAGAAAAGACAGUGAGCAUCUUGCCUCAGAAGCACAGUUUCUACAAAUUUCAAGAAGACAGGCAGCCGAAGAAAAAUACCCCAUCAACUGCCAGUGGGGGAAGUGCCACAACACAGAUGCCACCUCUGUUAUGCACCAGAUGAUCCAAAUGCAUGGUAGAAAGCUUAUUCUGCUGUGACUGCUCAAGGACACUCCAGGUGCAGCUCAAGGAACUUCGACUACAAGAGAGAUUUGUUCUGUUUCAGUAUUGGCUCCGUGGACAGGUGGAUGUGAUAUUAAAAGCCUGGAGGCAGGGCUGAGCACCAUCGAGUCGUUGUGGCUGCUCUGCACAGGGAGCGUGGCAGGAAACACUCGCUGA
This 401-nucleotide long non-coding RNA is filed under the name Lonchura striata (white-rumped munia). Its description in RNAcentral is "domestica (Bengalese finch) lncRNA (ENSLSDG00000018030.1)". The record is from RNAcentral. Lineage: Eukaryota; Metazoa; Chordata; Aves; Passeriformes; Estrildidae.